This 253-nucleotide ribosomal RNA is filed under the name uncultured bacterium. RNAcentral describes it as "partial 16S ribosomal RNA". It matches the Rfam family "Bacterial small subunit ribosomal RNA", at positions 524 to 776 of the family's 1533-position model. The record is from RNAcentral.
UACGUAGGUGGCAAGCGUUGUCCGGAUUUACUGGGCGUAAAGCGUAUGCAGGCGGAUACUUAAGUAGGAAGUGAAAGGUGGGAGCUCAACUCCCACAUUGCUCCCUAUACUGGGUGUCUUGAGUGGCGGAGAGGGAGAUGGAACGACACGUGUAGCGGUGAAAUGCGUUGAUAUGUGUCGGAACACCAAUGGCGAAAGCAAUCUCCCGGACGCAAACUGACGCUGAGAUACGAAAGCCAAGGUAGCAAACAGG